UACGGGGGGGGGCAAGCGUUGUUCGGAAUUACUGGGCGUAAAGGGCUUGUAGGUGGCCAACUAAGUCAGACGUGAAAUCCCUCAGCUUAACUGGGGAACUGCGUCUGAUACUGGAUGGCUUGAGUUUGGGAGAGGGACGCGGAAUUCCAGGUGUAGCGGUGAAAUGCGUAGAUAUCUGGAGGAACACCGGUGGCGAAGGCGGCGUCCUGGACCAAUACUGACACUGAAAAGCGAAAGCCAGGGGAGCAAACGGG
RNAcentral lists this ribosomal RNA (254 nucleotides) under uncultured Acidobacteriota bacterium. RNAcentral's name for it is "uncultured Acidobacteria bacterium partial 16S ribosomal RNA". It matches the Rfam family "Bacterial small subunit ribosomal RNA", at positions 524 to 776 of the family's 1533-position model. Lineage: Bacteria; Pseudomonadati; Acidobacteriota. The record is from RNAcentral.